This 1288-nucleotide long non-coding RNA is filed under the name Equus asinus (donkey). RNAcentral describes it as "lncRNA (ENSEASG00005029945.1)". The record is from RNAcentral. Lineage: Eukaryota; Metazoa; Chordata; Mammalia; Perissodactyla; Equidae.
UAAGUUUAAUGCAAAGAAUUAUUAGCUACAGUAGGAGAUUGCAAUAAGGAGGGAUUGGAUAGUAAGAAGUAAAGAGAAUGCUAAAGAAUACGAGAAAAGCAGAUAUAAGGAGGAGCCACUAUACUUAAAGUUGAGAUAGAGGACCCAAAGAAGAGGCCCCUCCCUCUCCAGGCUGAGAUCCUGACCUUAUUGGAGAGUGCACAGCCCUGCAGUUUGAGGAGAGUGUCAGAGGAAGCAGCUGUCCCCUGAAUGCUGUCUGUAUCACAGGAUCCUGGCAGUGGAGGUCAGCGGUUCUCAACCAUUUUUUCUGCCUCAACCCCAUCGGCAUCCACAAAGUAUAUGCACUAUCAUCAACAGUCUCUCUCAUGAAAUGAUUUGUAGUGGUGCAACGGCAUAGCAGAGACUGCAAGUUGUCUCUCAAAAGCCUCCCUUGCUGCGUCAUUCCCGCCCUCCCUUCCUUCCGUCCUCAGUAACAGAACACUCAGUGUUUAGCUGGGAAAUGGCUGUCCAAAAUGAAGACUAUAUUUUCCAGGCUUUCCUGCAGAAAGGCAUAAUGGGUGACUAAGUUCUGCACGAUGGGAUGUUAGUGUCCUUAAAAGUAGGAGCCAUUUCCUUCUUUCCUUUACAUUGACUGGAACAGAAUGUGAACAUAAUAAUGGUGCUCCAGCAGCCAUUUUUGACCAUAAGUGAACUUCCGAUGGGAUCCAUGCAUGGAUGGAGCGAAAAGAUAAAGACAGCCUGCAACACUAACACUGACCAGCCUUGCCCUGACCACCUCCAGGCUUCUUGACAAGAGGGAAAUAAACUUCUAUUUUGUUCAUAUCAGUGCUAUUUUCGGUUUCUUGUAGUGAAACUGAAUCCUAAUAAAGAGUUAUAUGAGAAUUUCCAGUUUGAGGGUUGUGAGGGUUGUGUGUAGUUCAUAGUUUGAAAAAAGCCUCUCGGGGCUGGCCCUGUGGCCGAGUGGUUAAGUUCACGCACUCCGCUGCAGGUGGCCCAGUGGGUGCGGACAUGGCACUGCUCAUCAAAUCACGCUGAGGCAGCGUCCCGCAUGCCACAACUAGAAGGACCCACAAUGAAGAAUAUACGACUAUGUACCGGGGGGGUCUUUGGGGAGAAAAAGGAAAAAAAUAAAUAAAUAAAAUAAAAUCUUUAAAAAAAAAAAGAAAAAAAGAAAAAAGCCUCUUAGAUAAAAAUCACUGAUACAGGUCUUGGGUUUUUUGGUUUUUUUUGCAUAUUUCUUUUUUCUUGUUCUGUUUUUAAUAUUUGUUUGCUGCUCCUGUGAACUGGA